GGAACAGUAGCUCACAGUCCCUGGCCCUCAUCAAGCUGGUCUCGGCUCCACCCCUCUCAGGGCUGGGUUCAGCCCAUGGCGCAUGCGUCUUUGCAGGAGAAUUCCGGCCGUGUUGAUCUCCAGGGUCUGUUCCAGACUGGCAGGCAGCAUCCAGAGCCAUCCUUCCAGCCCCAAGGACAGAGUGGGGUUCCUGAGUGGAUCCUGGGAGGAGCUCGCCGUUCCUUCCUUCCUCCGGGGCUCACUGAGCAGCUGCCGGGACCAGAUGGACGGAUGCCGAGAGGUGGACGGCGGGCGGCUGGGCGGGGGGCACUGGGUGGGUGUGUGGACAGGUGGGUGAGGAGACGGGCGGAUGCGCGGGUGAGAGGUGGAGGCUGCACGGAGGAUGGGUGGUGGGAAAUGGCUGGGUAGAUGGGAGGUCAUGGGAGGAAGGACGGACAGACAGACGGGUGGUGGACAGAUGGAGGAGUGGCUGAGGAGGGUAGAGAGUGGCUGGACGUGUGGUGAGUGGGGCUCAGAGGUGGGCGGGUGGAAGGGUGGACUGACGGGUGACACGGG
Molecule: long non-coding RNA, 555 nt
Filed under: Cavia porcellus (domestic guinea pig)
Lineage: Eukaryota; Metazoa; Chordata; Mammalia; Rodentia; Caviidae
Description: lncRNA (ENSCPOG00000038763.1)
Source: RNAcentral